UGGACUGGUGAACAUGAUGUGCCACUAGGC
This 30-nucleotide non-coding RNA is filed under the name Rattus norvegicus (Norway rat). The record is from RNAcentral. Lineage: Eukaryota; Metazoa; Chordata; Mammalia; Rodentia; Muridae.